CGUAAACAACCUGCCUUAAGGAUGGGGAUAACAGACGGAAACGACUGCUAAUACCGAAUACGUUCUAAGCAUCGCAUGGUGCAUAGAAGAAAGGGUAGCCUCUACAAGAAAGCUAUCGCCUUAAGAGGGGUUUGCGACUGAUUAGGUAGUUGGUGAGGUAACGGCUCACCAAGCCGACGAUCAGUAGCCGGUCUGAGAGGAUGAACGGCCACACUGGAACUGAGACACGGUCCAG
Molecule: ribosomal RNA, 235 nt
Filed under: uncultured bacterium
Lineage: Bacteria
Description: partial 16S ribosomal RNA
Rfam family: Bacterial small subunit ribosomal RNA
Source: RNAcentral